AGUCUAUUAAAUGUGGUCUGGAAUGAAUGGUUUGACGAGGUGCAUCUUUUUUAAUCUUAUAGUUGAAUUUUAAUUAUUAGUGAAAAUGCUAAUGUGUUUUAGAGGGACGAGAAGACCCUAUAGAGCUUUAUAUAUAAUUAAAAACUUAGUAGUAUUUACUUUUUUGAUUUAUAUUUUGUUGGGGCGACAAUAAAUAGAAACAUUUAUGAAAUUGUCUAUUAUUAUAGGAUUUUUGAUCCAUUAUUAAUGAUUAUUAGACUAAGUUACCUUAGGGAUAACAGCGUAAUUUUAUUUUAGAGUUCUUAUCGAUAAUAAAGUUUGCGACCUCGAUGUUGGAUUAGGAUUCUUUUAAGGUGCAGCAGUUUUAAAAAGUAGUCUGUUCGACUAUUAAAAUCCUACAUGAUCUGAGUUCAAACCGGAGA
Molecule: ribosomal RNA, 422 nt
Filed under: Digitipes coonoorensis
Lineage: Eukaryota; Metazoa; Arthropoda; Chilopoda; Scolopendromorpha; Scolopendridae
Description: partial 16S ribosomal RNA
Rfam family: Bacterial large subunit ribosomal RNA
Source: RNAcentral